RNAcentral lists this ribosomal RNA (471 nucleotides) under Pseudomonas fluorescens. RNAcentral's name for it is "bacterial SSU rRNA". It matches the Rfam family "Bacterial small subunit ribosomal RNA", at positions 30 to 494 of the family's 1533-position model. Lineage: Bacteria; Pseudomonadati; Pseudomonadota; Gammaproteobacteria; Pseudomonadales; Pseudomonadaceae. The record is from RNAcentral.
AUUGAACGCUGGCGGCAGGCCUAACACAUGCAAGUCGAGCGGUAGAGAGAAGCUUGCUUCUCUUGAGAGCGGCGGACGGGUGAGUAAUACCUAGGAAUCUGCCUGGUGGUGGGGGAUAACGUUCGGAAACGGACGCUAAUACCGCAUACGUCCUACGGGAGAAAGCAGGGGACCUUCGGGCCUUGCGCUAUCAGAUGAGCCUAGGUCGGAUUAGCUAGUUGGUGAGGUAAUGGCUCACCAAGGCUACGAUCCGUAACUGGUCUGAGAGGAUGAUCAGUCACACUGGAACUGAGACACGGUCCAGACUCCUACGGGAGGCAGCAGUGGGGAAUAUUGGACAAUGGGCGAAAGCCUGAUCCAGCCAUGCCGCGUGUGUGAAGAAGGUCUUCGGAUUGUAAAGCACUUUAAGUUGGGAGGAAGGGCAGUUACCUAAUACGUGAUUGUCUUGACGUUACCGACAGAAUAAGCACC